UACACAUGCAGUCGAGCGGGGNAGAUGUAGCUUGCUACNUUACCUAGCGGCGGACGGGUGAGUAAUGCUUAGGAAUCUGCCUAUUAGUGGGGGACAACAUUCCGAAAGGAAUGCUAAUACCGCAUACGCCCUACGGGGGAAAGCAGGGGAUCUUCGGACCUUGCGCUAAUAGAUGAGCCUAAGUCAGAUUAGCUAGUUGGUGGGGUAAAGGCCUACCAAGGCGACGAUCUGUAGCGGGUCUGAGAGGAUGAUCCGCCACACUGGGACUGAGACACGGCCCAGACUCCUACGGGAGGCAGCAGUGGGGAAUAUUGGACAAUGGGCGCAAGCCUGAUCCAGCCAUGCCGCGUGUGUGAAGAAGGCCUUUUGGUUGUAAAGCACUUUAAGCGAGGAGGAGGCUACUUGGAUUAAUACUCUNGGAUAGUGGACGUUACUCGCAGAAUAAGCACCGGCUAACUCUGUGCCAGCAGCCGCGGUAAUACAGAGGGUGCGAGCGUUAAUCGGAUUUACUGGGCGUAAAGCGUGCGUAGGCGGCUUUUUAAGUCGGAUGUGAAAUCCCUGAGCUUAACUUAGGAAUUGCAUUCGAUACUGGGAAGCUAGAGUAUGGGAGAGGAUGGUAGAAUUCC
This 626-nucleotide ribosomal RNA is filed under the name unidentified microorganism. Its description in RNAcentral is "bacterial SSU rRNA". It matches the Rfam family "Bacterial small subunit ribosomal RNA", at positions 50 to 670 of the family's 1533-position model. The record is from RNAcentral.